GUCAUUACAGUCACAGAUUGCUGAUCAUUGAACAGCGAAUUGACCAGCAGGUGUUGUUUUCAGACUUCAGUGUUUCACGAAGCCUCGCUUAGCUUAUCACUAGUUUUCUUCACCAUGUUAAUGCUGUGCUACUCCCACACCAAGCUCACCCGUAUUAACUCAAUAGUACUUACAUACAAAUAAGUUAAGACAUGAUAAAUAAUUAAAUAUCCCAGAAUAAAUCACUUUGAUUCUUCGAUGAGCCUCGGUAACUGAAGUUGUAAAACUUAUAUAUAACGGAAGCCCGACUUGUUUUACGCUUGCGUGAAAAGAGCGCUUUCCCUUUCUUUGGAUGGGUCCUAUGGACAUUACAAACACACUACUUAAAGUUAUAUGUGUAUGUCUAAAGAUGUUUACUAUUUAUGGUAUAAGUGGCUUCAAUUCAAGCUUUCUGCAUUAAAAAAACAUUCACAAGAGUGUUUGAUAAUUUCAGGAAUCCGCUUUAUAUAACACAGACAGCGACGUAGACAUAUUAUACAGGUGUUAAGUAAGUAUUUCAGUCUUUUUAAUUCAGCACAAGUGAGAAAACCACAUUUCCUCCUCUUCACUGGGACAGGAAGUAGGUUUUUUUCUUAGGGAGCGGGGCUUGUUUCUGCGAGAGCUCGGCUGUGACAGUGUUGUGUUUCCUCGCUCCUUCUUUUGACGGAUUCUUUCGUUUGAGAACGUUUUGUUUUAUCUCAGUCGUUAGAGAGAUGAUAGAAACAACUUCUAAACACAAACGCUGCGUAAUUAGAAAGUUUAACGAGGAUAUUAAGACGACUUUAAAGAAGAAGGACCGUGUUUGGUUUCGGAGAGAAGCUUCAUGAACAGGCGUCGAGCAGACACCGCCCUCUCCCUCCGCCUUUUCUCUGACGUCGAAAUAGGAGGACUUUUUAAAACUGUCCAUGAUGUCGAUGGUGUCUGUUCAGAAACAGACACGAAAAACAGCUGCAUACAACUGGCCUCAUCGCUGAACUCAACUCUUAAACUAGUUGUCUGUUCACAGUGAGAGCGGGGCUGACUGAGUUUGCACAAAGGGGAGGACAUUGGCUGAUAUCGUAACUAUGAUGUGAAUGUGUGUUGUUAUGUGUUCUUACAGAGUAACCCGGCAUUACAGUUGUAGCAAUGGGAAUUUUAUAGAGAAAACAAAAUGAAACACCAGUGUGAAGAAAAAAUCAGGUUCUCGCUUUAACUCACCUGCAGACACGAUCGAGAACAGACAAGUAGCCAGCAGAAUCCAGCAGACUGAUGUUACAUCCAUUACUAGUUUUGUGGGUCCUGAUCAGAUCAGAGUGGUACAAAAGUUGGUGUGAAAAGUUGCCGACCAAUCGUGAAUAUUUGCUGGAGAAUGAUCGCUAACGCUCCAGUUACACAGGGCAGCAGAUCGAUGAGAGACCCUCUGACAGCAACCGAAAAAUGUGUUCCUCACCGGGAUGGUGAAACCUGUGCUCUGCUGCUGUUGGGACAAUUAGUUGUUAGUCAAUUGCGUCUAAGUUGAGGAGAGAUUGUGGAAGUAAAACUGUCAGUUCUUCAAAGUAAAGUUUCGUCUCGUGCAACAUACUGAUUGCAAUGGUGAAGCAAAACUUUUAAUUUGAAGGAUCUUCAAGGAUUCCCGCUGACUUUGUGUGUUAGUGUUCGUGUUGGUCUUUCAUCUGUGACACUGAGCAGCUUGUCGUCAUUGAUCCUGCUGGAAGGAGGAGCUUUUCUCCUGUAUGACAACACGUUGAUGUCGCUCAAUAAAAUAUUUCAUAUAAUAUUCCUGUAAAUAAUAAUCACCCCAGUAUUUAUGAGCACAAUCACUGUCCCAUCAUUUUAAAACACUGCCUGUUUUAACUUAAACAUAUCAUCUGCUUAUGGAUUUAUUUAAACACUGACUGAAAUCAUACUGGCAGAGUUUUUGACAUUAAUAGACCUCGAUUACCCUAACACACAUUAAUCAAAAAACACAUUAGAUGACUAAAUAAAUAAAGCACAAAAAAAUCAAAUGAGGGUGUCUGACACUGUUGCAGUAAAAAGGGGGAGAAACACAAACUAACUCAGAGACACAGACUGAUGCGACACAACCAGUAAGUAGGUGUACAGCGUACACUGUAGUGUAUAGCACACAGGAGUAUUAGCUUAUUACGUACACGUUGGAGAGCUGUCUUGUGGCAACUGACAAACUGAAACAAACCAACGUGCUGUGUGUGCAACAGCGCGACAAACAGUACAGAAGCUGAAGCUGCAUUCACUUACACUCGGAUAUCUGAGCUGCACUGUGAAAACAUAAUGGUUUCCUGAAGGCAACAUGAAAAAUGGACCAUCUUGAGCCUGCAGCGGUCUGCUGUCACUCAUGAUUCCCCGCCCCUCUGUGUGUAGCCACGCCCACCACGCCAAAACAGGGCCAAAAGUCUGUAACUGAAAAAUAGAGAUCUGAAAGUGAAAAAAAAAAAAUUGAAGCUGAGAGAAAAAUCCGAAUCUGAAGAAUUUUUUUUUGUACAUUAAUUUAAAAGAUCUGAAUCUGAAAAUUUUAAAUCCAACUCUUUCUUUUUCAAAGUUCACUCUAAAAAUGUGACUUUUGCUUUCAGUUUACAUAUUUUCGAUUUCAAAUUUUUUUUUAACUAAACAAACAUUAUGGCCCUGAUUUAACUCCAUACCUUGAAAGGAAACCGAAAAAAAUAUUGUAACUGAAAUAAAUGUACUGAGAAAUCUUGUGUUGAAGCCGAAAAAAAAUUAAUUGAAACUAUUUUUUUCUUUUCAGUUACAAUUUUUUUUCAGUUUCAAUCCAUUUUUUUUGUUUCAAUCCAUUUAAGUUAAGCUUAAGCUUAGGUUAAAAUGUUACAUUUUUCCUCAAUUUUUUUUUUUUUUAGCAUUUUUUACUGAGUUUGUUACAAAUAUUCAGGUUAAAAACUGUCCGAAUUAUUUUUAAUGAGUUAUGUUCACAAAGUCACAUGUGCAGUACUCUGUACAGCUUGCAUCCUUUAGGACAAAUAAUUUGAAACAUUAAUAUUUCUUGUUCAAUACCACUGCUGAUAACACCUCCGUAUGUUGUGACCAGGAUGCAGCAGCAGACUGAACCUUGACUGAAACCUGCUCCAUCAUCUCAUCUUUGCAGAUGUCCAUUUAUAAAGCAAACAACUCAAAGGAGCCGUCCUCAGAUUCAGACCUCAGCACCAUCCAGUGACAGCAGACAGAUCAUCCUAUAUCUUCAAUCUUUGUAGUUACUCCAAAAUUAACUGAAGAAAACAGUACAAAGGUUAAAGUACCACAUGUGCUGUCAGUGAAAGCUGCAGCUGUUUUAUUGAUAAAGUUAAAGACAAAAAGUCAAAAGGAUUAAUCACCCAUGUAACUGUGUCACUAUACAUCAGCAUUAACAGGACCUCAGUUUGGUGUUUCAGGAAACUGCUGAUCUCAGACCUGCACAACUUCUGUUUUAAACACUGAAUAUACUCAGCUACAUGAAGAGCAUGUGAUGUUUUCUUUGACACAAUUAAAUAAAACCUGAUUAAAGUCAAAGGUCGUCACUUGUAUUUGAACUAAAAACUUGUGAUCUGGAAUUCUUUCACUGUUUUAUGACAAUAGUGUGUUAUUUACCAUAAAGUGAUUCAGAGUCAUUCAUACCAGAGUAACCAGAGAGCACAACAUAUAUUUAACUUUCUACAGGACUUAAAGAUAUUAUAUUAUGUAAAAGUCCAGACCCUCUGAGGAUUAUCUGAGUACUUCUAACAUUACACAAGCAAAGGUCUCCAUCAGUGUUCAUGAAAUGCUGGGUUUAUCCUUCUUGUGAGGGAGCUGCUGGUGAAGAUCACGAGCCCUGCUUGAUCCCGGCGAUGAGUCAGUCUUCCUGGUGUUUCUUAAAUGAUGUCUCUCACAGUGGGUCAACAGAACAUCUGGCACAGGACAGCU
Molecule: long non-coding RNA, 3903 nt
Organism: Oreochromis aureus
Lineage: Eukaryota; Metazoa; Chordata; Actinopteri; Cichliformes; Cichlidae
Source: Ensembl